RNAcentral lists this ribosomal RNA (494 nucleotides) under uncultured bacterium. RNAcentral's name for it is "partial 16S ribosomal RNA". It matches the Rfam family "Bacterial small subunit ribosomal RNA", at positions 28 to 507 of the family's 1533-position model. The record is from RNAcentral.
GACGAACGCUGGCGGCGUGCUUAACACAUGCAAGUCGAACGGAAAGGCCUGCUUUCCCUUGUGGAUUGCGGGUACUCGAGUGGCGAACGGGUGAGUAACACGUGAGUGAUCUGCCCCCAACUUGGGUAUAAGCCUGGGAAACUGGGUCUAAUUCCCGAUAGGACUGCAGGGUGGUGCCUGUGGUGGAAAACGAUUUUCUAGUGGUUGGGGAUGAGCUCGCGGCCUAUCAGCUUGUUGGUGGGGUAAUGUCCUACCAAGGCGGCGACGGGUAGCCGGCCUGAGAGGGUGGACGGCCGCAUUGGGACGGAGAUACGGCCCAGACUACUACGGGAGGCAGCAGUGGGGAAUAUUGCACAAUGGGCGGAAGCCUGAUGCAGCGACGCCGCGUGGGGGAUGACGGCCUUCGGGUUGUAAACUCCUUUCGACCGCGAGGAAGCCACCUGGUUGGAAGGGUGGUGACGGUAGUGGUAGAAGAAGCACCGGCUAACUACGUG